Molecule: long non-coding RNA, 532 nt
Filed under: Coffea arabica (coffee)
Lineage: Eukaryota; Viridiplantae; Streptophyta; Magnoliopsida; Gentianales; Rubiaceae
Description: long non-coding RNA (CARA_LNC005448)
Source: RNAcentral
UGAAUAGAAACUACAUUUUUCAAAUGAAGAAUUUAAAUAUCAUAUCCAAACUCAUGUAGAAGAUUCCAUGAUAAAUCCCUCAAAAUAAGACCAAAUUGAAAAAGAUCUCUUCCUUGUUUUGGGAUUGGUGUUGAGGGAAAAGGAUCACUUUUCUUAUGAGCUCAUCUUUUAGGACUAAUCAAAUGGAUAUUAUUCAGGAUUUUGAGAUGGCUCAGGGGAAUGGUAUGUCAGGAUCUAUCUUUUUUUUUUUGUGCCCAAAUUGUAUCCAACACAUUCAAUAUCACAUCUUGGUGAAAGCAAAUAACUUAUCACUCUUAUUUUUUGAGAAAACUCAGUCAACAUAUAAGCUGUAUAGGCUUGUAAUAUAUGGGUAGAAACGAUAGCUAAACAUAUGAAAACAGGUUAUGGCCUUAUGAUCAUGAGUGAUUGGUAGAUUCCUUAGAGACAAUAUUUUCACUUCAAAUUGUCAUGAAAAAUAAGUCAACAAUGGACUUUAUGAGCUUGUAAUGUGGCUUGACAACGAUAGCUAAAA